CCCCGUCCCCGGCGCGCGCGCCAGCGCGCGCUCCGGGCGACUAACGAACCCCGGCGCGGAAAGCGCCAAGGAAUACCCAACGAGACAGCCUGUCCCCCGCGCCCCGUCCGCGGAGCGCGCGGGGGAACCUGCGCUUCUUUCGAAACAAAAACGACUCUCGGCAACGGAUAUCUCGGCUCUCGCAUCGAUGAAGAACGUAGCGAAAUGCGAUACUUGGUGUGAAUUGCAGAAUCCCGUGAACCAUCGAGUCUUUGAACGCAAGUUGCGCCCGAAGCCAUUAGGCCGAGGGCACGUCUGCCUGGGCGUCACGCAUCGCGUCGCCCCCCUCGCCCCGCUCCCGUGGAAACGGCAGCGGCGGCGUCGCGGGACGGAUACUGGCCUCCCGUGCGCCUAGAGCUCGCGGCUGGCCUAAAUGCGAGUCCACGUCGACGGACGUCGCGGCAAGUGGUGGUUGAAACUCAACUCUCGUGGUGCCGCGGCCCCUGCCCGUCGCGCGUGCGGUCUCCGGGACC
RNAcentral lists this ribosomal RNA (512 nucleotides) under Withania somnifera. RNAcentral describes it as "eukaryotic LSU rRNA". The stretch from base 153 to 308 matches the Rfam family "5.8S ribosomal RNA". Lineage: Eukaryota; Viridiplantae; Streptophyta; Magnoliopsida; Solanales; Solanaceae. The record is from RNAcentral.